GAUGAACGCUGGCGGCGUGCCUAAUACAUGCAAGUCGAGCGAACGGACGAGAAGCUUGCUUCUCUGAUGUUAGCGGCGGACGGGUGAGUAACACGUGGAUAACCUCCCUAUCAGACUGGGAUAACUUCGGGACACCGGAGCUAAUACCGGAUAAUAUUUUGCACCGCAUGGUUCAAAAGCGAAAGAUGGUCUUGCUGUCACUUCUAGAUGGAUCCGCGCUGCUUUAGCUAGUUGGUACGGUAACGGCUUACCACGGCAACGAUGCAUAGCCGACCUGGGAGAGGGAUCGGCCACGCUGGGACUGGGACACGGGCCAGACUGCGACGGGGAGCAGGAGUAGGGAAUCUUCGGCAGUGGGCGAAAGCCUGACGGAGCAACGCCGCGUGAGUUAUGAAGGUCUUCGGAUCGUAAAACUCUAUUAUUAGGGAAGAACAUAUGUGUAAGUAACUGUGCACAUCUUGACGGUACCUAAUCAGAAAGCCACGGCUAACUACGUG
Molecule: ribosomal RNA, 497 nt
Filed under: uncultured bacterium
Lineage: Bacteria
Description: partial 16S ribosomal RNA
Rfam family: Bacterial small subunit ribosomal RNA
Source: RNAcentral